UAGACUGAAGCCAGUGUGUUAGGGUAUUUAGCUGUUAACUAAAAUUUCGUGGGGUUAAAGCCCACCAGUCUAG
RNAcentral lists this transfer RNA (73 nucleotides) under Megatherium americanum. RNAcentral describes it as "tRNA-Asn". It matches the Rfam family "tRNA". From Rfam's summary of the family: Transfer RNA (tRNA) molecules are approximately 80 nucleotides in length. Lineage: Eukaryota; Metazoa; Chordata; Mammalia; Pilosa; Megatheriidae. The record is from RNAcentral.